CUGAAGCCAGGGGUUGAAUUAAAAUUUUUCAACUAGCAAGUGAGACAUACCCUGAGGUGUGUGUAGAACUCUGGUCCAAUUGCCUCCGACACUGUACGAGUGGGAUGAACCUCAUAUCGGUUCAAAUUAGACUCACUGCACAGAAAACAGAAGGAAAAAAAAGCACGUAAAUACUCAGACACAUAAAAACAAAGGGAAACUCAAAUAUUUUAAUGCUGUGCACACGUACCUGCUAACAAACAGGUCUGGUUCAUACUGAACAAAACUCUGCAGGUGAACACUGUUGUCCUCCAAAGUAUGCUCUCGCUCCACACUGUCACUGUAAAAGAGCCAGAUAGUUACAUAAACUGUGUGGCCUUUAAAAGAAGACAAAACAUUAUCACUGUCUUGUGGCAAUGUUUAUUGAAAUCUUCAGAAUCUCUAAACUGUGUGCAUGAAGUACCCAGAACCUGCUGUUUUAGUGAGCUACCUGGCAGCAUUGAGCUUCAUCUGGACUCGACUGUGCAGAGAUGUGCAACUGAACUCAAACUCCAACAUGAAGUUAACCUGCAAACAAAGAGGGGAACAGGCAGCUCGAGAUACACUUUUCACCUGGAGUAAGUGAAGUAUGAGUGGGCUCAGGCGAGAGUGAUGGAGCUAUUUCCUGGGCAUGGACGUACCUUUGACUGGGAGCGAAAUACUGGAUAGCUGACAUUACACGAGUGGCUGUUAGCGCCAAGCGCUGUACACUCAAUCUUAAAGUGGGCAUCUUCCUACAAUAAACGAGAGAAGAAGAAAGAGAGGUUGUGUUUGGUAACACGUAGAUAAAUGCAUAUGGUCAGUUACACGUGGUGCUGCAUGUGUUAGCGGUGUGUGAGUGUUGUCUACCCGAAUGCUGAGGCUGGAGAAGUGCAGGUUGCGUGAAUAAUGCAGCGUCAGGCUGGUGUUGUAGGCGUUUUCCAGUCUGUUCUGGAGCUGCACCUCCACCGCCAGACGCCUACGAGGGCUGCGAAUCACAUAAGGCUUCUGUCUGUGGAGGAAACACAAUGAGAGCUCCCUGAAACCUAACAACUGAGAAGACAUAGAAAACAGAGGAAUUUCUCAAAUCUGUACCUUGUCCCAGAGAUGUCCAUAUGAGCCUGCAGCACCAGAUCUGUGGUACACACAUCAUCCUCACCACAGUCUUUAAAGAACGGGAUCUAGAGAGGUACAAGUUGAGAGCUUAGCUUGUUUAGAGGAGAAAAGAGGAAGGGAAUGGGAUCCAAUAAGAAAUCUAGUAAUGCUAACAGGCACCAUUGUGCCACUCACAGAUUUCUUGACAGUGGUUGGCCAGCCUUCAUCCAAUACCGGACCACUCUCAGUGUUGUUGAUCUUAAACCGCAGUGAGAAGCUGAUUGGACGGAUGUAAUCUGCUGUGUCCUAUGUCGACAGAAACAAAUGCUAGGGUUAACAACGGGUCACAAGUGUCACUCUGUCUGUCCUGAUGCGUGUGUAUGAAAGAUGGAAAGUAUUUUAAUGUGGCUGGUGCGUGUACAGACACUCACAUAGACAUGGAAGGGCAGUUUGUAGCAGAGAGUUUGUCCUGUUUGAACUUGGACUGCCAGCUGGGUUUGUCUGUGAGAGCUGUCGUCAAACAGGGCCCGUGCAGACAACUUCCUGUCAUCCAACAUCGCUGACAACCAAAGAUCUGAGGAGUGAGCAGGUAAUUGAGACAGAUGGUGAGUGCUGGAAAAUUCCCGUUUUAAUAAUGAGUUGUGUGCCUGGCCAAUUUACAACACUUAUAUUUCUUGUUAUAAGGAUUAGACAGUGCAAGCCUGUUAAUGUUGGGUUUAUGAAAAAAUAUAUAGGGUUAUACCAAAGCUGUUGCUGUGUGGUCCAGGGGAGCGGGAGAUAGCUGUGAAGCAGGCAGUGGCAUUCAGACAGGCUGAUUCUCUGCCACCCCUCUGGCAGGUCUUCUGAAUGACGUUGAUGGAGUGCGGCUGGAAGGACAGACUCACAUUGAUCUGGACUAUGCUUCGAGAGCUGCGGACAGGAGGGACAGUCAUUGAAAAAACAGAAUCCAAUUUUUUAGCUAGAGGGUAUUUAUUUAGCCAAUAGAUGAUUUAGAUCUACGUAUAAAAUUAAAUAUUGUUCUUUUGUAUUGUUCAUUCUUUUAAAAGUGAAAGCUAGCGGGCUAUAGGUGGUACAUUAAAUGUAUUGUCUGGAUUCAUUAUCUCCCAGUGUUUGCAGCUGAAAAUAAAAUCUGUACUGGCAAGGACUUUCCCUUCCUUCUGUGCCUUUCCUCCUCUGUGACUACCCACCUGAGCAUUACAGCACUGCCCUGUGCUCCUACUGCCAAGUCUAUUAGCUCAUCUCCAUCCAAGUCCAACCGAGCACUCACGCUGCGGCCAAAAUACUGCAGGGAGGGGGAAAUCGAUGACCCCGGAAUACGCUGUGAGGACAGGAGAGGCAGAGUGAAAAACAGAAAUUAGUUUGACUGACUUCUGAAAUGCACCAGCGAGUUUGUAGUUGUAGGGAACUGGCAAGUACCUGUUUAUAACUGUGGUUGAUGUAAAUACCAUCUCCAUGGUAGACAUAGAUGGCCCCCCUGUGUUCAUCCUCUAACGGGGCUCCCACCAGCAGGUCGGUGAAGCCAUCAUGGUUGAGAUCAGGAGCGGCUGCUAGUGCAUAACCAAACCUGGCAUCCUGGGACUUUUCCUCUGACUUCAGAGUACCAUUAGAUACAAACACCUCCUCCUGAAAGACAAGAAAGUGGAGGGAAGAAAAGGUGGAGGAGUUGGCGGUAACAGGAUCCAUUGCAGAGAAGAGCGAUCAGUGUCACUGCUGUCUUACCCCACUGAGCGUGUAGAUGUACACUCUACCAGCCUCCUUGUUUCCUGAGCCAAGGUACAUUGGAGCAGCAACAAGAAGGACAUCAGUGAUGCCAUCCUUGUCGAUAUCCAGCCCACACACCUCACUGCCAUAAUGAACAAAAAAAAGUGAUUGAAACGAAUGAAGAGAGACCAAAUAGGAGAACUUUACCUGUUCUCCGUUGAGGGCCUGUACGAUGUUGACAUCUCC
Xiphias gladius (swordfish) is the source of this 3039-nucleotide long non-coding RNA. RefSeq lists it as uncharacterized. The transcript is spliced from 3 exons. NCBI's taxonomy places the organism in Eukaryota, Metazoa, Chordata, Actinopteri, Istiophoriformes, Xiphiidae. The record is from RefSeq and is a predicted model, not a curated record.